RNAcentral lists this long non-coding RNA (731 nucleotides) under Salmo salar (Atlantic salmon). RNAcentral's name for it is "lncRNA (ENSSSAG00000083684.1)". The record is from RNAcentral. Lineage: Eukaryota; Metazoa; Chordata; Actinopteri; Salmoniformes; Salmonidae.
ACGGCUUCCACUAGAAGUCAACAGUCUUUACAAAGUUGUUUGAAGCGUCUACGAUGAACAGAGACCGAAUGAGAAGGAGGGGAACUUGUUGAGGCAGGGGAUGACAUCACUUCUUGGCGCACGUUGAUGAGAGUGGAUCCUCCGUUCCAAAACCUUUUUCAAGACACAGGAACUGAAAUAUUACUGAAUAUUCACGUUCUGAAGGCCCUAAAGAUUGAUGUUUUACAACGUUUGACAUGUUUGAACGAACGUAAAUACAACUUUUCUUUACUUUUCAUCGCGACAUCGUCUGCGCGCUUCCUACUUUUGGAGUAGCUUACUGAACGCACGAACAACAAGGAGUUAUUUGGACAAAAAUGAUGGACUUUAUUGAACAAAACAACAUUUGUUUGAGAUUCCUGGAAGUGCCUUCUGAUGAAGAUCAUCAAAGACAUGAGCUCUAGGAUCAUGCCUCAGAACUACCUGGCCUGAUGACUCCUGGCUGUCCCCAGCCCACCUGGUUAUGCUGCUGCUUCAGUUUCAACUGUUCAGCCUGCGGCUAGGGAACCCUGACCUGUUCACCGGACGUGCUACCUUGUCCUGGACCUGCUGUUUUCGACUCUCUCUCUCUCUACCGCACCUGCUGUCUCGACCUCUGAAUGCUCAGCUAUGAAACGCCAACUGACAUUUACUCCUGAGGACACUGGGCAGUAUAUGAGAGGCUGAUGUUUGAUGAGUUAUGUGGCCAUCCG